GGACCAUUAGCUCAGUUGGUUAGAGCAGCCGCCUCAUAAGCGGUCGGUCCGGGGUUCGAUGCCCUGAUGGUCCA
RNAcentral lists this transfer RNA (74 nucleotides) under Blautia wexlerae. RNAcentral describes it as "tRNA-Ile". It matches the Rfam family "tRNA". Rfam says of the family: Transfer RNA (tRNA) molecules are approximately 80 nucleotides in length. The record is from RNAcentral. RNAcentral also lists the same sequence under 1 other name. Lineage: Bacteria; Bacillati; Bacillota; Clostridia; Lachnospirales; Lachnospiraceae.